CACCUCUCGGUGUCACACCUGGAGAGUUUCCAGUACUCUAUCUGUCUCAACUUUGGGAGGGAGAGUCAUGCAGAGGCAUAUCCAUUCCAGUCCUAGCUUGGGCAGUGGCUAGUAAGUGGAAGGCAAUCUGCUACAAGU
Non-coding RNA from Ornithorhynchus anatinus (platypus), 138 nucleotides. The record is from Rfam. Lineage: Eukaryota; Metazoa; Chordata; Mammalia; Monotremata; Ornithorhynchidae.